GAUGAACGCUGGCGGCGUGCCUAAUACAUGCAAGUCGAGCGAACGGACGAGAAGCUUGCUUCUCUGAUGUUAGCGGCGGACGGGUGAGUAACACGUGGAUAACCUACCUAUAAGACUGGGAUAACUUCGGGAAACCGUAGCUAAUACCGGAUAAUAUUUUGAACCGCAUGGUUCAAAAGUGAAAGACGGUCUUGCUGUCACUUAUAGAUGGAUCCGCGCUGCAUUAGCUAGUUGGUAAGGUAACGGCUUACCAAGGCAACGAUGCAUAGCCGACCUGAGAGGGUGAUCGGCCACACAGGAACUGAGACACGGUCCAGACACCUACGGGAGGCAGCAGUAGGGAAUCUUCCGCAAUGGGCGAAAGCAUGACGGAGCAACGCCGCGUGAGUGAUGAAGGUCUUCGGAUCGUAAAACUCUGUUAUUAGGGAAGAACAUAUGUGUAAGUAACUGUGCACAUCUUGACGGUACCAAAGCAGAAAGCCACGGCUAACUACGU
RNAcentral lists this ribosomal RNA (496 nucleotides) under uncultured bacterium. Its description in RNAcentral is "partial 16S ribosomal RNA". It matches the Rfam family "Bacterial small subunit ribosomal RNA", at positions 28 to 506 of the family's 1533-position model. The record is from RNAcentral.